Molecule: ribosomal RNA, 468 nt
Filed under: uncultured bacterium
Lineage: Bacteria
Description: partial 16S ribosomal RNA
Rfam family: Bacterial small subunit ribosomal RNA
Source: RNAcentral
GACGAACGCUGGCGGCGUGCUUAACACAUGCAAGUCGAACGGAAAGGCCCUGCUUUUGUGGGGUGCUCGAGUGGCGAAAGGGUGAGUAACACGCGAGUAACCUGCCCUUGACUUUGGGAUAACUUCAGGAAACUGGGGAUAAUACCGGAUAGGAGCUCUUGCUGCAUGGUGGGGGUUGGAAAGUUUCGGCGGUUGUGGAUGGUCUCGCUGCUUAUCAGCUUGUUGGUGGGGUUGUGGCUUACAAGGGCUUCGACGGGUGGCCGGCCUGAGAGGUUGACCGGGCACCUUGGUACUGCGGUACGCCCCAGUCUCCUACGUUACGCAGCAGUCGGGAAUAUUGCACAGUGGGCGGAAGCCUGAUGCAGCGGCGCCGCGUGCGGAAUGACGUCCUUCGGGGUGUAAACCGCUUUCUCCUGUGACGAGGCGUGCGUGACGGUAAUGAGUAAAGAAGCACCGGCUAACUACGUG